GCGGGUUCGAGCCCGUCAGUCCCG
RNAcentral lists this transfer RNA (24 nucleotides) under Populus nigra (black poplar). Its description in RNAcentral is "partial tRNA-Asp". RNAcentral also lists the same sequence under 21 other names. The record is from RNAcentral. Lineage: Eukaryota; Viridiplantae; Streptophyta; Magnoliopsida; Malpighiales; Salicaceae.